This 509-nucleotide ribosomal RNA is filed under the name uncultured bacterium. Its description in RNAcentral is "partial 16S ribosomal RNA". The record is from RNAcentral.
GGAGUUAGCCGGUGCUUCUUCUGUGAGUGAUGUCCUUCCUGCCGGCUAUUAACCCGCAGGCCUUCUUCCUCACUGAAAGUGCUUUACAACCCGAAGGCCUUCUUCACACACGCGGCAUCGGCUGGAUCAGGGUUGCCCCCCAUUGUCCAAUAUUCCCCACUGCUGCCUCCCGUAGGAGUCUGGGCCGUGUCUCAGUCCCAGUGUGGCUGAUCAUCCUCUCAGACCAGCUACGGAUCGUCGCCUUGGUGAGCCGUUACCUCACCAACCAGCUAAUCCGACAUAGGCUCAUCCGAUAGCGCGAGGCCCGAAGGUCCCCCGCUUUCCCCCGUAGGGCGUAUGCGGUAUUAGCCUGGGUUUCCCCAGGUUAUCCCCCACUACCGGGCAGAUUCCUAUGCAUUACUCACCCGUCCGCCGCUCGCCACCAGGGAGCAAGCUCCCCGUGCUGCCGCUCGACUUGCAUGUGUUAGGCCUGCCGCCAGCGUUCAAUCUGAGCCAGAAUCAAACUCUGA